This is a non-coding RNA of Helianthus annuus (common sunflower), 108 nucleotides long. The record is from Rfam. NCBI's taxonomy places the organism in Eukaryota, Viridiplantae, Streptophyta, Magnoliopsida, Asterales, Asteraceae.
AUUCCAUGGUGAGGGCAAUUUUUAAUCAUCAUAUUGAAGCGCUCGAACGCCUCAUGAAACAUCUCACCAUGUUGUUGUUGAAAGCUUCUGAACCCCUUCUGUGACAUU